Molecule: long non-coding RNA, 759 nt
Filed under: Ananas comosus (pineapple)
Lineage: Eukaryota; Viridiplantae; Streptophyta; Magnoliopsida; Poales; Bromeliaceae
Description: long non-coding RNA (ACOM_LNC042885)
Source: RNAcentral
GGUUCAUGAACUUGGUUUAUUUUGGUUAAUGGGCCUUGAUUCAUGAACUUGGGUUAUGAUCCAUGGUGUUUGGUUCACGAACUUGGGUAAGAUUCAUGGAUAUGGUUCGUGGUUCAUGAACUUGGUUUAUGAGUUUUGGUUCAUGAGACUUGAUUCAUGAACUUGGAUAUAGGAUUUGGGAUUUGGUUCACGAACUUAGGUAUGGUUUAGGUUCAUGAGCCGAAGUUGGAAGUUGGAUUUGGGUUUUGGGUUUGGAUUUGGAUUAUGGACUUUAUUUGGGUUGGGUUUGGGUUUUGGUUUUGGGUUCGGGUUUCGGUUUGGAUUUUGGUUUUGUUUUGGUUUGGGUUUGGAUUUGAUUUGGUUUGGGUUUGGGUUUAUUUGUGGAUUUGGGUUUGGAUUUGGGUUGGGUUUGGAUUUUAUUUGUGGAAUGGUUUGGGUUUAUUUGGACUUUGGGCUUGGAUUUUUAUGUGGACUGGAUUUGAAUUUGGUUUGGAUGUGGACUUGAUUCGGAUUUGGUUUCGUAUCUGAACUUGAUUCGGAUUUGGUUUGUAUGUGGACUUGAUUUUCUUUUCAAUUCUAUUUCGGGUUCGAGACAAUUCUCUUUUGAUUUUGCAACUUGAUUCGGAUCCGAAGAAAUCCCUUUUUGAUUUUGGUUUGAUUUGGGGUCCAAAGAAAUUCCCUUUUCAUCUCGAUUUGGAUUUGGGGUCCGAAGAAAUCUCCAUUUUGAUUUUUCAAUUUGAUUUGGGGUCCAAAGAAAUU